This 3268-nucleotide long non-coding RNA is filed under the name Salvia miltiorrhiza (redroot sage). RNAcentral's name for it is "long non-coding RNA (SMIL_LNC011921)". Lineage: Eukaryota; Viridiplantae; Streptophyta; Magnoliopsida; Lamiales; Lamiaceae. The record is from RNAcentral.
CAACUUCAUAUCAUAGAGCUAUCCUAAUCAAAGUGUUUUGCAGCGGAAAACGUGUGAGAUAUACAUAUGAAGAUGUAUACUCAAGGUUACAUUUCUUAAAAUGUCAAAGGAACACCUGCUCAACAUCAUUCCAUUCCAUCAACUGCUCAACCUGCACAUUUAGAAAUACAUGCAGGGCUGAGUAUAAAAAUACUCAGUGGGCAUAGCCGAAAAUACAACAUGCAUACAUAUAUAAAUUGAACUGCCAUAACAGUAACACACAGGGGUUUUCUUAAAUGACCUGCGCUUACUAAAAUAUUUCUUUCAUUUUCAUAAAGUCGAUCGGCCGAUCAUUUUCCUUCAUAUGAUCCAUAUCUGUUCCUUUCUGUCACGCGCCGGGAAGGAGGCCUCCUUACCACGGACGCCAAGACCGGUCGCAAGCGACUCGCGGUCUCCAUGAGUGUACACGUUAACCCUAGCUAGCGACCUUUGUCUAGCAUAGGAUCCCAAUUGGAUUUCCUUUAAAGUUGGCGAACCAACACAGAUAGGAUACAUAUAAAAACAUAAACAUUUUGGCAGUCAAUCAUUUCAUAAACAUUUCAUUUUCAUAACAUUUUCAUUUUCAUAAAGGGCAUUGAACAUAUAAGCAUUUUAUAAGAACUGAAUAAAUAGUCAAAACAUAUCAUGCAUAUAUAUUCGCAUAUGAGGCCUACGUCACGCAGGGGAUCUCUAUAUACGUAAUAAUAAAAUAAUGCCCACCUGGAUAGGCAAAGCCUGAAGAUCAUAAUCACAUAAACUCGUCUUGGGAAAGCAGCGCUAAUCCCCUUGGUUCAUAAAGCCUACAAGAAAUUCUAUUCUUAAUAGGUCUCGUGAAACUAACUUAAAGUCUUAGUGGAUGUACUAAACAUACUUGAUUCAUCACGCCGGGUUUCCAAAAUUUAGUAAAUAAAUAAUUGAAAACUAAAUUCUUGAGUUAAGGACACCAACAAUAUCCUUACUCGAUUUUCUUAAAAAUUGGAAUUAUAAUUAAAACCAAUUAAAUACUUUUAUUGCAAGUAAAAAUGCAAUUUCAUGUCAUGCUUAGCAUAUAAUAAGUAAUUUACUUAAAAUAUGCACAUAAUAAUAAUUUAAUAUUAUUAUGAAAACAAAUCUUUGAAUAAAUUAAUUAAACUAAUUAAUAGUCCAAUUAAUUAAUAUAAGUGUAGUCCAUUUAAUUAAUAGAAGACAGCCCAAAAUUUUUAAAUAAAUAAAGGCCCAACUAUUAAUUAAAACUGAGUCCAUGUUGAAUAAAUAAAAUUAGCCCAGAUUCAAUUAAAAGAAAAUCGGCCCAUAACUUAUUUAAAUAAACUGAGCCCAAUACUCAAGCCCAACACUCUAGUCCUAAAGGAAAAGACUCGGCCCAGAUGAUUUAAUUCGGCCCAAAAUAGGAGCCCAAAAGAAAAAGAGCCAAACACUCGGCCCACUAUCCAAACCAAACACAAAGCCUUCCUCCCCCCUUCUUCUCCCCCAUCAGCCGCACAACACACACACACACACACAAUUUGCAGAUCUCACUCUCUCUCUCUCUCGUCGGACUUCACGGCCGCGUGCCACCAUCCCGGCGACGAGCGCCGCUCUGUCAUCCUCACCAUCACCCUCGACCCCUCUAUUCUCCUCCCUCAAAUCUCUCUCGACUGUCUCCCUCAAACGUCCGUGGCCGAGCAGCAGCNAGCCCAAACCUCUAAGCCCAACCCAAGCCCAACAACCCCAAACUAAGCCUAAGUCUUCCUCCCCCCUUCUUCUCCCCCAUCUGUCGCACAACACUCACACACACAUACAAUUUGUCAGAUCUCACUCUCUCUCUCUCUCUCGGACUUCACGGCCGCGUGCCACCAUCCCGGCGACGAGCGCCGCUCUGUCAUCCUCACCAUCACCCUCGACCCCUCCUAUUCUCCUCCCUCAAAUCUCUCUCGACUGUCUCCCUCAAACGUCCUGGCCGAGCAGUAGCAGCCAUGGCGCCAGCUCUGCCUUCCUCCGCUGAACUCCGGCUGCCACGACCAGUAGCUGGUCGCCGCCCCUUCUCACCCUCUCUCUCUCCGUCCUCGGCCCGACAUCAGCGGGCAGAGCCGCCGUGCAGCGGCCUCCUCUCUCUCUCACUUCCGCCAACGAGUAGCGGAAGCCGCUCUCUUCCCCGACUCCUUCCUCAGAUCGACGGCAGCAAGGCCGCCGGCCGUCACCCCUCUUCGGUCUCCAGCGAGCAAAACAGACGGCCACCACCGCCGUCCGCCGACUCCGACUCUCCUCACCCUCCUCGCUGCUCGUCUCCCUCUCGACUGCUCUCACGGCCGCUGGAGCUCGCCGGAGCAACGGCGACAACCACUACCCCUCGGUUCUCCCUUCUCUCGGCUGAAACAGGCCCGACAUCCCACCGCGAAGAGCGGCGCCCGAGCCCUAGCUCCCUCUCUCUCACCGUGGCCGGGCGACAGCAGCGCCGCUGCCGUGCCGUGCCUCCGUCCACCUCCCGACUCAAUUCACACAGCCACCACACUCGUCUACCCGACUCGACACAGCAGUUCGUAAACAAAGGAGUAAAAAAACAAAGAAGCUUCAAUAUCUACUCUUUCUUUUUUUAAAAAAAACAAUGCUUCAUGUAUGUAUGUAUAUGCACAGACGAUAAAUAAACAUCAUUGAGUUUGGGUCUUGUUGUCAUAUGCAAAUUUAUAUAUGAUGGAAUCAGUGUACGUGUUAUGUAUGGGUUCUAACUUGAGUUUCUGUUUCAAAAGAAGUGCUCGAGUAAGAGAGUUAGAGGUUUAACCUUCAAAAGAAAUCUGUUGGGUUAUCAUUCUGCAAAUCUUCUGAAUUUGUUCAGUAGCUGAUGUGCUGAAAAUUGAUGAGGGAGAUGAAAUGUGUGGGAUGAUUGUGGAGGAUAGAAAAUGGAAGCUCGGAUCAACCAGCUAUAUUAAGUUUGCAAAAAGAAGGGAGUAGGUGGGUGUGAGAGGGAGUAGGUGGAAGGAAGUAGGUGGGAGAGUAAUAUAAAAUAAGGUCUUCCGGGUUGUAUUAUGAAAACUGUAAUAAUCGUUCAGUGUUUGCUUAAAUAAAUAGCUCGUGUAGAUGUUAAAUGCUUAAUAUUCAAUUUAAAUAAAUAUGAAAAUGCAUAAGAAUUUAAAUGACUAACAUUUACAAAGAGGAUUUUGCAAAUCGUUUGUUGGAAUUAAAAUAAAUUCAUUUUCUUUAUAUCCGGCGUGAAUCAUCUUACUUCUAAAUUUUGAAAAUAAAUUCUAAAUUUAACUCAGGGAAACGGGGUAUUACA